UUUUUCUUUUAUGUUAUUUUAACUUUUUUUCUUUUUUAUUUUUCAUUCCCUUCUGCUUCUCCUUUUGUUUUACUCCCUUCUUCAUUUCUUUUAACGUAGUUUUUUAUGUUUUCUAUUUGUUAAAAUUAGUCCCUAUACUUUUAUUUUUUGAACAAUUUAAAUUUUUCUUUUUAUUUAUUUAUUUUCCUUUUCUUCUUCCCC
This 201-nucleotide long non-coding RNA is filed under the name Gossypium raimondii (Peruvian cotton). RNAcentral describes it as "long non-coding RNA (GRAI_LNC002396)". Lineage: Eukaryota; Viridiplantae; Streptophyta; Magnoliopsida; Malvales; Malvaceae. The record is from RNAcentral.